RNAcentral lists this ribosomal RNA (2574 nucleotides) under Hydatigera taeniaeformis. RNAcentral describes it as "SSU rRNA". It matches the Rfam family "Eukaryotic small subunit ribosomal RNA". Lineage: Eukaryota; Metazoa; Platyhelminthes; Cestoda; Cyclophyllidea; Taeniidae. The record is from RNAcentral.
CUAUGGUUUAUUGGAUCGUACCCGUUAAAUGGAUAACUGUAAUAACUCUAGAGCUAAUACAUGCCUCGAUGCUCUGACCCUGGUUGUUGCCUUGCGGCAGCGAGUGGGGGAUGGGUGCACUUAUUAGAUCAGAAGCCAACCAGUCCGCUGACUGCACGCGUGUGUGUGUGUGUGCUUGCAUGCAGGCAGGUAUGCAUGCGUGUGGACGUGUGUGUGGGCUGUGAGAGGAGACUUCUGGUGACUCUGGAUAAUUGUUACAGAUCGCAGUCGGCCUUGGGUCGGCGACGGGUCCUUCAAAUGUCUGCCCUAUCAACUGUCGAUGGUAGGUGACCUGCCUACCAUGGUGAUAACGGGUAACGGGGAAUCAGGGUUCGAUUCCGGAGAGGGAGCCUGAGAAACGGCUACCACUUCCAAGGGAGGCAGCAGGCGCGCAAAUUACCCACUCCCAGCACGGGGAGGUGGUGACGAAAAAUACCGAUGCGGGACUCCUUCAAGAGGCUCCGUAAUCGGAAUGAGUGGACUCUAAAUCCUUUCACGAGGAUCAAUUGGAGGGCAAGUCUGGUGCCAGCAGCCGCGGUAACUCCAGCUCCAAUAGCGUAUAUUAAAGUUGCUGCAGUUAAAAAGCUCGUAGCUGGAUCUCGGUGGCAUCGUUGCCUGUCGGUGGUUGAGCGGCUGGUGUGUGGCUAUUGGCGCGUCGCUCUGGCCGCCGUCGCCUCGGUGUGUGUGUGUGCGUGUGUGUGUGUGUAGGUGGGUGGGUGGGUGGGUGGAUGAAUGGAGCGUGGAGCGUCAGUCGACUGUCGGUUGGUGGUGCGGGUGAGUAGUUAGUGAGUGAGUGAGUGAGUAGGUGGGUGAAUGGGCACUGGUGUGCCUGGUUGCCUGCCUGCCUGCCUGCUUGCUUGCUUGCUCGCGCGCAUUGUUGACCGGUUGGGAGAUUUGUGCGUUUACCCGCUCGUUCGCUGGCUCGCCUGCCUGCUCGCUCGCUCGCUCGCUCGCUGGCUCACAUGCCGUGGUUUGGUUGUUGGAGUGGUGUCGACGUGGUCAUGAUGAAGCGCUGCCGUGUCAAGCCGACAAGGCGAUGGUGUCGCCUGUAAGCCAUGUCUGCGGUGUAGCAACUGCAGGUGUGGGCGAGUGGUGGAUGGUGCUGUACGCACACAUGUUGUGCAGCCUGUCAGCUCGUCUGCAUGCCUUUGGAUGCCCUUGAAAAGGUGUCUGCGGGCGGAUGGCACGUUUACUUUGAACAAAUUUGAGUGCUCAAGGCAGGCCGAUGUUGCCUGAAAAGUUUUGCAUGGAAUAAUGGAAUAGGACUUCGGUUCUAUUUCGUUGGUUUUCGGAUCCGAAGUAAUGAUCAAGAGAGACAGGCGGGGACGUUUGUAUGGCUGCGCUAGAGGUGAAAUUCAUGGACCGUAGCCAGACAAACUAAAGCGAAAGCAUUCGUCAAGCAUGUUUUCAUUGGCCAUGAGCGAAAGUCAGAGGCUCGAAGACGAUCAGAUACCGUCCUAGUUCUGACCAUAAACGAUGCCAACUGACGAUCCGUGGUGGUAGUGGUGUUACCUUCCCCACGGGCAGUCCCCGGGAAACCUUUAAGUGUUUGGGUUCCGGGGGAAGUAUGGUUGCAAAGCUGAAACUUAAAGGAAUUGACGGAAGGGCACCACCAGGAGUGGAGCCUGCGGCUUAAUUUGACUCAACACGGGAAAACUCACCCGGGCCGGACACUAUGAGGAUUGACAGAUUGAGAGCUCUUUCUUGAUUUGGUGGUUGGUGGUGCAUGGCCGUUCUUAGUUGGUGGAGCGAUUUGUCUGGUUAAUUCCGAUAACGAACGAGACUCCAGCCUGCUAAUUAGUGCAUUUGUCCACUGCACCUGUGACGGUGGCGUUGGACGAUACCGGCUGCCGCGAGGCAUGCGCUUUGGCGUUGUCACUGCUGGCGUCGUAUGCUGCGUGCAUGCGGUGCACGUGAGCGUUCUACUGCUCCUCCUGCUCCUGCUCCUCCUCCUCCUCCGUGUCGUAGUUGUCGUUGCUGCCAUUGUCGUCGUCGUCGGCGGCGGCGGAGGCGGCUGCAAUGAUUGCGCGAGGGUGGUUGGUGGGUGUGGGUGGGUGGGCGGUUGAGUGUGGCGAUGGCGGUGGGAGUGUGUGGAGCGCGAGCCUUGUGGCUGGUUAGGCCGGCGCUGGCCUGCGGGUGUGGCGCGAAUGCUGACUACUUCUUAGAGGGACAAGCGGGAGAAGCCGCACGAAAUAGAGCAAUAACAGGUCUGUGAUGCCCUUAGAUGUCCGGGGCCGCACGCGCGCUACAAUGACGGUGUCAGCGAGUCAGACCUUCUGGCCCGAGAGGGUUGGGCAAACUGGUCAAUCACCGUCGUGACAGGGAUCGGGGCUUGGAAUUGUUCCCCGUGAACGAGGAAUUCCUAGUAAGUGCAAGUCAUAAGCUUGCGCUGAUUACGUCCCUGCCCUUUGUACACACCGCCCGUCGCUACUACCGAUUGAAUGGUUUAGUAAGGUCCUUGGAUUGGCGUCAUCGCAGCUGCUGCAGUGGCUGCCCGAGAGGCGCCGAGAAGACGACCAAACUUGAUCAUUUAGA